RNAcentral lists this long non-coding RNA (495 nucleotides) under Ursus americanus (American black bear). Its description in RNAcentral is "lncRNA (ENSUAMG00000015519.1)". Lineage: Eukaryota; Metazoa; Chordata; Mammalia; Carnivora; Ursidae. The record is from RNAcentral.
UACCGCCUGCGCCCACAGUCGUUCGCCUAGAGCGCCCCUGGCCGAAUUCUAGGCUUUCCUGGGGGCAGCAGCACCCCUACUUCGCCCUGGGGAACCCGAGUCCUGAUCUGGAGCCCCUCGCCCCCAGGAGACCUCUGCUCCCUUUGCCAUCGCCCUGUUCACCUGUGUGCCCUCUAAGCCCUGCAGAGAGACUGGGAGUACGGUGACAAGCCAUCCAGACACAGAACAAGAGGAAGGGGCUGCUAACAGCAGGUGGGUGCUCUUUCCUCUCCUAGAAGGUAGGUCCACAGGGCACCUGGGUAACUCAGUCGGUUUAGUGUCCCAUUCUUCAUUUCAGCUCACGUCAUGGCAUUGAGCCCUGCCGUCGGGCUCUGUGUGCUUCCUGUGGAAUCUGCCUGUGCCUCAACCUCUGCUCCUCACCCCUCUUGUGCGCACACGCCCUCCCCCAACCAUCUCUAAAAUAAAUAAGUAAAAUCUUUAAAAUAAGGUAGGUCC